This is a long non-coding RNA of Triticum aestivum (bread wheat), 385 nucleotides long. RefSeq lists it as uncharacterized. The transcript is spliced from 2 exons. NCBI's taxonomy places the organism in Eukaryota, Viridiplantae, Streptophyta, Magnoliopsida, Poales, Poaceae. The record is from RefSeq and is a predicted model, not a curated record.
UGCUCCUUGCGCCGCUGUACGCUGUGCUCAAACCCUGUUUUUCUUCUAUUCCCCUCACCAAAGCCUUCCUCUGGUCUUCCCAACAGAGGCUACUGCCGUCGCUGCUGCUGGUGGCUACCGCCGCCGUGAGCCGUGAGGUUGCUGCUGUCCCCGACGCCUCUCCUCUCCGUGGUCGUUGCCGGGCAGUGCUGGUGCUGGGCGUCGUUGUUGCUAGCGGUAAACCCUGAGGACGACAUGCAUGGGAGUCUUGGGAGUAGCAUCACCACCCUGUUCACUACACGAAACUCACAUAUAUUGUACUUUAGGACCAUGUUUUGAGAACCUAGUAUAGUUUAUACUUUGCUAAGCUUGGUGGUUUGUCCUGAAGUUUGGAAGUUGCCCUUUU